This 408-nucleotide ribosomal RNA is filed under the name uncultured bacterium. RNAcentral describes it as "partial 16S ribosomal RNA". It matches the Rfam family "Bacterial small subunit ribosomal RNA", at positions 28 to 526 of the family's 1533-position model. The record is from RNAcentral.
GACGAACGCUGGCGGCGUGCUUAACACAUGCAAGUCGAACGAAGUGGCGAACGGGUGAGUAACGCGUAAUCAACCUGCACAUCAGAGGGGGACAACAGUUGGAAACGACUGCUAAUACCGCAUACUGAAGGAGGGGAUUGCGUCUGAUUAGCUAGUUGGAGGGGUAACGACCCACCAAGGCGAUGAUCAGUAGCCGGUCCGGGAGGAGGAACGUGCACAUUGGGCCUUGGACAAGGCCCAGACUCCUUCGGGAGGCAGCAGUUGGGAAUCUUCCGCAAUGGACGAAAGUCUGACGGGGCAACGCCGCGUGGGUGAUUACGGCCUUCGGGUUGUAAAGCUCUGUUAAUCGGGACGCGGUACCGGAAUAGAAAGCCACGGCUAACUACGUGCCAGCAGCCGCGGUAAUAC